RNAcentral lists this ribosomal RNA (481 nucleotides) under uncultured bacterium. Its description in RNAcentral is "partial 16S ribosomal RNA". It matches the Rfam family "Bacterial small subunit ribosomal RNA", at positions 28 to 507 of the family's 1533-position model. The record is from RNAcentral.
GAUGAACGCUGGCGGCGUGCCUAACACAUGCAAGUCGAACGGAGAUUACGGACGGAAGUUUUCGGAUGGAAGACUGUAAUUCUUAGUGGCGGACGGGUGAGUAACGCGUGGGCAACCUGCCCUAUACAGGGGGAUAGCAGCGGGAAACGGCUGGUAAGACCGCAUAAGUCGGCGAGACCGCAUGGUUUUGCCGGGAAAUGAGCAAUCAGGUAUAGGAUGGGCCCGCGUCCGAUUAGCCAGUUGGCAGGGUAAAAGCCUACCAAAGCAACGAUCGGUAGCCGGUCUGAGAGGUCGGACGGCCACAUUGGGACUGAGACACGGCCCAAACUCCUACGGGAAGCAGCAGUGGGGGAUAUUGCACAAUGGAGGAAACUCUGAUGCAGCGACGCCGCGUGAGUGAAGAAGUAUUUCGGUAUGUAAAGCUCUAUCAGCAGGUAAGAUGAUGACGGUACCUGACUAAGAAGCCCCGGCUAACUACGUG